This 834-nucleotide long non-coding RNA is filed under the name Zonotrichia albicollis (white-throated sparrow). RNAcentral's name for it is "lncRNA (ENSZALG00000008950.1)". The record is from RNAcentral. Lineage: Eukaryota; Metazoa; Chordata; Aves; Passeriformes; Passerellidae.
UGGACUGGCUCGUUCCAAGGAGCCUCGGGGCUCUCUCUGCAGCACUGCACCACGCUGAGCAGGCACACCUCCAGCAGGGAAAGGUUGUACAGCUGUAAGCUGCCAUUGCUAAUCUUGUUGAGGGGCUGUCAGAGCCUGCAUCCUGCCUCCUGCUCAGGCUGUGACCCUGGAGUGCAUGAGGCUGCUUCCUCCUUUCAUCUCGCUGCUCGGAUUUCUGCAGAAAGGAAAACCAAGCAAAGCCCUGGAAGAUCCCAGAUCAACAAUGAAAAUCCUGGAUGAGGAUACCUAAACUGCCAGUCAGAACUGAGGCAGCUAUGGAAGUGGAUUGAAGGACUUUGAUUUCUUGUUUCCAGCCCAUGGAGAAUGCAUGAAACAAGCGAAGUACUAAACAUCAGAUGCAUCCUAAAGGGAGUGAUUAUUCAGACAGCCUAUGUAUGCCCAUAAGUGGUAUCAAAUUGUGAAGAGAGGAAAAAAUAACCUUCCUUAUGGACACACACACCUUCAGAACAUGAUAUGAUAGUAAGAGCAAAGCAAUGCCUCGUGGCAAUGGCAACUCAGUCAGAGAGCUGGACCCUGUACAAAUGUCCAGCUGGAUGGAUAAACCCUGAAAGAACAGUCUGCCAGAAAAACAACAGUCAAAACAGGCCUGACCUGGUAAAUGGAGGUUACUCUGAAAACUGUACUUAAUAACUGCUACUGUUAUUCACCAUACUCUAUACUGAACAAGCGAGACACGUUGGAAACAUCACCAGAGUCAAGAGUCAAUUCCAGAAGUAUUUGAGACCCUUGGCCUGAGUCUGCCACUGCAUUUUAUGGAAAAGAAUGGUGAGUAUG